UGGUACUAAUUGAACAAGAAGCCUACAAAUUAAGUCUUGCAUUAUCCCUGUUUUUUGCUGGAAUGUUCAUUGGAAAUACCACAUUUGGCCUUCUGUCAGUUAAAUUGGGCAGGAAACCAGUGUAUAUUUCAGGUAAGAUUGUUAAAAGUUUUUUCUUAAGUAUUCUACAUAGAAAACAUCUUUCUUGCCUGCCCCUGGGCCACCCUGCUGAAAUGCUGCUCCUGGGUCCCUUGCUCUGUCAGUGACCUUUUUGAGCAUUUCACACAGAGUGGAAGAGCACUGAAACUGGUUAGUGCCAAUGUGCUGAGAAGCACAGAGGUCAUGGAGUAUUAGUGGGAGGUGAAAAAACCUGGUUUUGCCAUGGCUGUCUCUAUUGGAGCAUAGUAUUCCACACAUUACCUAACUAUAUUGUUCCAAAUAAAAAAGCUUUACCUAAGCAUCUUCAGGAGUGGGAUAAUCAUGUCCUGGUGUUUUGUUUUCCAGCUGGGUUUGCAAACAAAGGAUCUUGUUAAAUGAAAACACUGUCUCAAGGAAAUGUCAGGAGUCUUCUUCCUCCUCCUUUCUUUAUCAUUCUGUCUCCAAGAGCCCGGAUCCGCAGCGGAGCUCUUCCAUGAGCUGCUCCCACAGGAAUGGGGCCCGGCCAGAAAAGCGCUUGGCUUUGUCCGGGGCACUGUCAGCGCUCACCAAAAGCACCGCACCACGGCGCUGUCAGCUCGCGAAGGAAGGACCCGCACCGAGCCAGCGCGAAACCGCCCCCGGGGCAGAGCCACGUCGGAAGGCAAAAAUUCCCAGUCCUCCCAAGUGCACACCCUUCUUCACACCACACUCAAACAGCAACACGAAUUCCUUUGCCCUAACAAGGCUUUUUGCUCUCACAGAGUCUGGCCACAAUCUUGACAACAUCUGGUAAAAACAGAGCUCACUGAGAAAGCUGCCAGCUGAGAAAGCUCUUGCUGCCUACAACUUCAAGUGCACCCAUCGAUUUACCAGAUCCCACCCUGCUAUCAGCACUUUGCUUCUCAGUUCUUCUCUGAGUUUUUAGCUCAGCUCUAAGCCUUCAGUCUCCCAGAGUCAGGAUCCAAACAGAACGGCACCAGGGACUCACACACUGAAGGUCAGCAGAAGCACGUGGGUCUGAUGGCACACUCCUCAUCCAGCAGGGGUCAGGGCUUGGCAGAGCCUGGGCUGGGAGGGUUUCCCCAAAAAUAUCCUACAAGCAAUCUUAUUCAUGUCAGUUGUGCAAAUUUCUUAGAAUGAUACAUUUCUUGCAGAUAACUACGCAAGUUACGUGCAAGUUUCUAAAGCAGCUGUUUUGGUGUAAAAAACAGCUGGCAGAAGUGUCUCAGACAUCUAUCGUUAGCUAAAUAAUACUGAUGGUGUCAGUCACAUAACACCCAGGUUUCAUCUUGUAAACCAACUCUGCCUGAGGCCUGAGCAUCAGCACAUCUGAGUCACUUCGUUUGUUCAGCCUGGGAAACUGGAGACUGAAGAGGAGACCUCACUGAGGUUUUCAAUAUCCUCUUGAGGGGCACUGGAGGGGCAGGUACUGCUCUCUUCACUCUCAUGACCAGUAACAAGGCCCCAGGGACUGGCUGGAGCUGUGUCAGGGAGGAUUAGGUUAGGUAUCAGGAAAAGGUUCUUACCCCAAAGGCUGGUCAGGCACAGAACAGGCUCCUCAGGGCAGUGGUCAUAGUACCAAGCCCGUCCGUACUCAAGAAAUGUUUGGACAACACUCUCAGGCACAGGGGAAUUCCUGUGCAGGGCCAGGAGUUGGACUUCAUGAUCCUGAUGGGUCCUUCAACUCAGGAUAUCCUGUGAUUCUGUGUGCACUGAAUGAUUAUCUCAAACUGGUUUGCACUGGCACUCAGUGCUUGUCUGUAACUGCUUCCAAUUUAUUUCUGCAGUCAACCUCAGGGCAUUGACAGACUGAUCAAACACAGAGUUUAAGGAAAAUGCCCCUUUUUAGGUGACAGUGUCCAAGGCCAGGUUGCACGGGGCUGUGAGCAACCUGAUUUCCUAUGGGAGGGAUGUGGGAACCAUGUGAUUUUGAAGGACCCUUCCAACCCAAGCCUUUCUAGAAUUCCAUGAUUAUUUUGUGGGCCAUUCAGAACAGAUGAGAUCCACCAAAUACUGAAAAAGUUGGCCUUUAUUCUAAAAAUAGAUUCCUCAAAAUACCUAUGAGACUUGAACUAAGAUGGAGAAACCUCAGGAAAGAAACCAACCACUUCUUCAAAAUACCUGUAUUUAUUACACCAAAACUCAAACUCCAAGCAGCUCACGUAUUUCUUUUCCUUCUAGGUCAUCCCAAAUGUGACAACAGCGAGACAAAAAUGUUUGUAUGUAUCCAAACAAAACCACAAAAUCAAAGUCCAAUAAAGGUAUGUUCAUACAAAACUCA
Long non-coding RNA from Lonchura striata (white-rumped munia), 2398 nucleotides. Lineage: Eukaryota; Metazoa; Chordata; Aves; Passeriformes; Estrildidae. The record is from Ensembl.